GACGAACGCUGGCGGCGUGCUUAACACAUGCAAGUCGAACGAUGAUCCGGAGCUUGCUCCGGGGAUUAGUGGCGAACGGGUGAGUAACACGUGAGUAACCUGCCCUUGACUCUGGGAUAAGCGUUGGAAACGACGUCUAAUACCGGAUAUGACCUUUGCCGGCAUCGGCUGGAGGUGGAAAGAUUUUUUGGUCAAGGAUGGACUCGCGGCCUAUCAGGUAGUUGGUGAGGUAAUGGCUCACCAAGCCGACGACGGGUAGCCGGCCUGAGAGGGUGACCGGCCACACUGGGACUGAGACACGGCCCAGACUCCUACGGGAGGCAGCAGUGGGGAAUAUUGCACAAUGGGCGAAAGCCUGAUGCAGCAACGCCGCGUGAGGGAUGACGGCCUUAGGGUUGUAAAGCUCUUUCAGCUGGGAAGAUAAUGACGGUACCAGCAGAAGAAGCCCCGGCUAACUCCGUGCCAGCAGCCGCGGUAAAC
RNAcentral lists this ribosomal RNA (480 nucleotides) under uncultured bacterium. RNAcentral describes it as "bacterial SSU rRNA". It matches the Rfam family "Bacterial small subunit ribosomal RNA", at positions 28 to 525 of the family's 1533-position model. The record is from RNAcentral.